AUGGACCACGCGUCCACUGUGGUUCUGAGCGCGCCGUCCGCGCCCACCUGACAGCUGCUCGCUACGUUGUGUUAGCC
RNAcentral lists this small RNA (77 nucleotides) under Xanthomonas oryzae. RNAcentral describes it as "sX9". It matches the Rfam family "Xanthomonas sRNA sX9". Lineage: Bacteria; Pseudomonadati; Pseudomonadota; Gammaproteobacteria; Lysobacterales; Lysobacteraceae. The record is from RNAcentral.